Molecule: ribosomal RNA, 155 nt
Filed under: Escherichia coli
Lineage: Bacteria; Pseudomonadati; Pseudomonadota; Gammaproteobacteria; Enterobacterales; Enterobacteriaceae
Description: partial 16S ribosomal RNA
Rfam family: Bacterial small subunit ribosomal RNA
Source: RNAcentral
CUUGUACACACCGCCCGUCAAGUCACGAAAGUUGGUAACACCCGAAGCCGGUGGCCUAACCCUUGUGGGGGGAGCCGUCGAAGGUGGGACCAGCGAUUGGGACUAAGUCGUAACAAGGUAGCCGUACCGGAAGGUGCGGCUGGAUCACCUCCUUU